CAAAAUCAUAAAAGAGCACAUACUGGAGAGAAGCCAUACUAAUGUAAUCAAUGUGACAAAGCCUUUUCACAACACAGUUAUCUUCAAAUUCAUAGAAGAAGAUAUACAGGAGAGAAACCCUACAAAUGGAAUCAGUGUGACAAAGCCUUUUCCCAACCUUUGUAACCUCCAAUCCGAUGAAGAAUUUAUACUGGAGUGAAAUCUUACAAAUGAAAUGAAUGUGACAAAGCUUUUUCCCAUCAUUAUAAUCUACAAUUCAUAAAGGACAUACUAGAGAGAAACCUUACAAGUGUAAUCAGUUUGUGAAAGUCUUCAAAACAUGGUCAUCUUUAACAGAAUAAAAGAAUACAUACUGGAGGGAAAAGCUACGAAGGAAAUGGAUGUGAGCAACCUUUUUACAACACCAUCAUUUCUGAAUGUUUCUUCUCUUUCAGCCUGAGUUGCCAUCUCAGUCGAACCGUUCAUUGGGAGCUGCAGGCCGGCCGCAACAGUUUGGCGCCCGAACAGGGACCUGGAGAAUGGCAGAAGGGUGCUGAGAAAACGCUGUUGGUGUGGAGCUCCACAGGAAAGGCAAAAGAUCUUCGUAUCAGACCCCGAAGCAAUGAACAGCAGGUCAAUCAACAUUCUCCAGCCGGACCAGUGGAUGUGCAUCCCCGCCCCCCUAGAGCGCAAUGGUGGCAGCUGCUAUCUUCAUUCCCAGGACAUUCCAGCACGUGGUUUUCAGUCUGAGUUGAAAUUUAGGUUUACCAAGAGGGCUAGAAAAGUAGAUAUUUCUAAUAUUAAUAGAGAUUGGUUUUUAUUUUAAUAGACAGGCUUAGUCCCUUAGCUGGCCUCUGGCUUUUUACCCUUGCUGUUACUGCAAGGUGUCCUUAGUUCCUCAGGCUGUGGAAAUAACAGAGAUGAAGAGGAACGACUCCCAGCUCCUAUUUUAGCCACGAAUCGUGGUGUUACUAAUGACAUAAUUCUUGCCUAGGCCUUGCUAAAUCUGAGGUUGAUAAUUCUCCUUUAGGAGCUGCACAGUACUCAGAACUGUGCAUACUGGUUCGUGAUCAUACGAAUACAGUAUGGGUAUCGCUUGGUGCAAAGAACUACUGCAGGGGAAGGUCCAGCUUAACCAUUUCUGAGUUUCCUGUGGGUUAUACCCGGUUUAAAAAGGAGGUUGGUAUCUAAUUUUGGCUAAAAACCAAAAAUAUCUACGGCUCUGCCUCCCCUCCCCAAAAGAUACCAAGAGCCACAGGUGUGGGUCGUGACAGCACCCACGGGAGAAAUGGGGUCAAUGUCCACCCAAGCCAAGGUUAAAAGCCCACUCAUCUACAGAUGAGAAAAUCAUUUGAUCACCUCAGUUAAGCGUUGCCUUAUUUAACUUAAUUAAUAGGGGGGAGAGAGGUUGGAGACCGUACUGUCUUCACUGCCUCCCACCCCAAAAUAAAAAGCCAAUUGGCCUUCUACUACGGAGCCAGUCGUCACCCCCUUCUCCCUGUUUCCCACCUGUCAUCCAAAAAUGCGGAGGAAUAUCAACUCAGUGUUAUUUUUAAUGAAGUGUAUUUCUAAUUUGUUCAGCCAAACUUAGCCAGGGUUCCAACGCCCUACUUAAAAUUCAACUAGGAAGUUACCUAUUCAGUACUAAUUAGCAUUAUAAAGUCAGAGCCUACAGCUCCAGGCUUUUCUGUUAGUUGUUUACUGGGAUAGAAAGGACAGUCUUAGCCAGAUACAGUUUACCAUAAGAAAAGUUAGGGAAUCCCACGGAGACAGGUUUUUUCUUUAGCCCUAGAAUUCAGGCAAAACUAUUGAGCAUAGAUAAAAAAUUUUUUUUUUGCCUCAGGCCAGCUUUUUCUUUUUUUAAAUUUUUUGUUAACAAAAGGGAGGAGAUGUAGUCUCCCCUCCCCCAGCCUGAAACCUGCUUGCUCUGGGGUGGAGCUUCCUGCUCAUUCAUUCUGUCACGUCCACUGCUGGAACCUGCUGCCUUGCUGUUCCAAAGCCAUCACGUGCUCAACCUGCUACUGGACCCCAAGAUUAUUUGGUGGGAAUCGGGUCCCCUCCCCCUUUCUUCAUAACUGAGUGUUGCAACAGUAAAAAUUGAGCUUUGAUCAGAGUGACUUUUGACUUGGCUCCAUUCUUUCUUCCGAGCCCGUCUAGUUCUUCUCUUUCAGCCCCAGUUGCCAUCUCAGUUGAACUGUUCGUUGCGAGCUGCAGGACGGCCACAACAUCCCAUCAUAUGUAGAUUUCCUACCUAAAAACCUCUCUCCCAACUAAGAACAAUAUUAUUUUGAUUUAUGGUGGCAUCUGUUAUAAUUCACCAAAACCAGAGUAGACUUUUUUUUUCAAGAC
Mus musculus (house mouse) is the source of this 2328-nucleotide long non-coding RNA. RefSeq annotates it as predicted gene, 19792. The transcript is spliced from 3 exons. NCBI's taxonomy places the organism in Eukaryota, Metazoa, Chordata, Mammalia, Rodentia, Muridae. The record is from RefSeq and is a predicted model, not a curated record.